This 346-nucleotide unclassified non-coding RNA is filed under the name soil metagenome. RNAcentral describes it as "partial contains 5.8S ribosomal RNA, internal transcribed spacer 2, and large subunit ribosomal RNA". The stretch from base 1 to 119 matches the Rfam family "5.8S ribosomal RNA", at positions 35 to 154 of the family's 154-position model. The record is from RNAcentral.
GAUGAAGAACGUAGCGAAAUGCGAUACGUAAUGUGAAUUGCAAAUUCAGUGAAUCAUCGAGUCUUUGAACGCACAUUGCGCCCGCCAGUAUUCUGGCGGGCAUGCCUGUCUGAGCGUCAUUUCAACCCUCAUGCCCCUAGGGCGUGGUGUUGGGGAUCGGCCAAAGCCCGCGAGGGACGGCCGGCCCCUAAAUCUAGUGGCGGACCCGUCGUGGCCUCCUCUGCGAAGUAGUGAUAUUCCGCAUCGGAGAGCGAUGAGCCCCUGCCGUUAAACCCCCAACUUUCCAAGGUUGACCUCAGAUCAGGUAGGAAUACCCGCUGAACUUAAGCAUAUCAUAAGCGGAGGA